RNAcentral lists this small nuclear RNA (106 nucleotides) under Chinchilla lanigera (long-tailed chinchilla). The record is from RNAcentral. Lineage: Eukaryota; Metazoa; Chordata; Mammalia; Rodentia; Chinchillidae.
AUGCUCACUUCAGCAGCAGAUACACUAAAAUUGGAACUAUGCAGAGAAGAUUAUCAAGGCCCCUGUGCAAGGAUGAUACCAAACUCAUGAAACAUUCCAUAUUUUU